This is a long non-coding RNA of Oncorhynchus kisutch (coho salmon), 8669 nucleotides long. RefSeq lists it as uncharacterized. Lineage: Eukaryota; Metazoa; Chordata; Actinopteri; Salmoniformes; Salmonidae. The transcript is spliced from 2 exons. The record is from RefSeq and is a predicted model, not a curated record.
CACACACACACACACACACACACAAUUAUGUACUACAGGACUACAAAACAACAUGGCAGACUAGUCCUCCAUCUUAGUUCAUACUGAUUAUUCUUUUGAUUCACGUGUCUGCCUAUCUCAGUUUUUUUAUGCUCCUUCUCUCCCUUCCUCUCUCCCCGCUUCUCUCUCUCUCUGUCCCGCCACCUUCUCCACUCUGCGACCAGCAUUUGGCUUUUUCCACUUGUGGCAGAUUACUGUAAGGCUAUUGUAAAACAACUUCCUGCCUCUUUUGGCUCUGGUUCCAAAAAAAACGGCAAAGGCUGGGCUCACGCGUCUCCCCCUCUCUCUCCCCGAAGUAUCAGAAGGUCUAAAAAGAGAGAAAGCCAGAAAAAGGAAAAGUGUAAAAUCUCUGUCUCCUCUUGAGGACUUAUUUUGAUGCCUUGUGUCUUUAAUGCCACAUGAGAAGUAAAGGAGGAGAGCAGGGGACUGCAUGCCUAGCAGAACGGAAAGAACAGCACAGCAACACCGGACCGACUGGAGGCUCCUCCGCUAGCUCUCUCCGAGGACUCUCUCCUCUCCUCCUCUCUUCAUGACAAGGUUCAAUAAGACACAGGUGGCCACAUUCAAUGGACCUGCAGAGGGAAAAAACAUUGUUUGUAUUUACUUACUGAAGACAUGGUGCAACCAAGUUCGGGCGUUAUUAACAGUCUCUCUAGUCUUCUUUUUAAAAAAUGACACAAAAUGGGUUGGAUGUGUCUGCAUUGGAAUGAGCUAGAACCCUAAAACCCUAGAACCCAAUCCAAAGCACCGCAGCCUCACGUCACAUCUCGCCAUGCGUUUUAACCAAUUGAAAAACUCACGUCUUUGCGUUGAAACAUAUAGGUUUAAACAUACAGUUUGUGGAUAAUGUAGAUAUAUAUUAAGAAUAUGUAUUUUUGUAUGCACAAUCCUGCUCAGUUUCAGUAGAGGACAGACAGUAGGGAAAAUGGACAUGGAACUAUGAAUUUGUUUUAGUUGUUGGUUUGGAACGGUCUGUAGUAAUAAUUUAGCUUAGUGUGCACGUAGCACAGCAUUUGCAAGAAGUUCACUUGAGGAUAGGGUUUUGGUUUUGGGAGGAUGCCAACUUUUACGACUGCGUGCCUCUACCUCGUUCCCCUCUUCUCUACUCUGGUUGCAUUUGUCUCUAAUGAAUUAUAUUUCAAAAUGUAUUUAUAUAUGUAAUUAUAUAUGUAAUUAUUCUAUUUUAAGUUGUGUUUUAGAAUUAUAAAUGACUUUAACCAUGCUUUCUUUAAACACAUUUCAAAUAAUAAAUUAAGCCAUUUUAAUAUUUUUUUAACUUAGAUAUUUUUUAAGGAAUGCUUUCUUACACAGGUGUGUAUAAGAACUUUACAACAAUACCAUUAAAAAACAUGUCCUAGUACUACAGAAAAAAAGCUUGGAGGGAGGACAGGGAGGUAAAUGUAACUAUUCCUUCUUUAGUAUAUUUGAAGGGAUUUCUUAACCCUAUUGUUAAUAAUUACGAUAUGCUAUGGAAUGCUAUGUAUCUGAAUCAGCAUUAACUCUUAGAAUCUUUAGAUAAAAUCACAAUAGAUGAAAUGGUUAAUAAACUUUAAAGUAAAUAUCCAACCUGUUAGUCAAAGCUAUGUUCCUGGUUUUGAAAUGCUACAAAUCCACAUAACUCACUACAGUGGAUGGUGAAGGAGAGAAUGAUCAGAGUAGGAAGUUAACUAACACGUCAGUAAAUGUGUCUUAGCUAUCGACACGUGAAUACCGAUUCAGUCAUUCAGUCCUAUUCAAGGAAAUGUUCAUUGAAAUGGCGGACGCUGCCAAGUCAUUUGCAGGCUUCAUUCGGAAUGUUAACGUAUUGUGAUACAUUAAAAACGUAACCUUGCUUAAUAAAAUGUAUUCCCGUACUACACAUUUUGUAAAAAGUGAACUACAACGACUCCAGGAAAAAUCCUCACACAUUUAGUUUCUGUCUUUUAACCCUUAAAUUGACAAGCUGGUUAUACAUUUGUAAGGAAGUAUUUGGAAUAACAAACUCAUAAUUCAACUUAAAAAAUUAAGCACAAUCAAUAUGAAAAUUGCUAUGUGGUCUUAGAUAACUUAAAAUCUAUGACAAAACAACUAAAAUAGUAUCCAACAAUUUCAUAUGUAGUUGCUGUACAGAUUAAUAAAUACAUUCAAUGUUAACCACUAUGUAUAAUGUAUAUCACUAGUAGAUAUGGUAAAAACAGAUCAUGCAAAUAUAAUUUUCUCCAACUGGUCCUACAGAAAAUUAUAACUUUUGUUAGUAUGCAUGUUGGAUCUUAUCAUGGUAAACAAAAAAUAUGUAAUACAUCAAAUGUUUAUUUUGGGAUAAUAAGAAUUCCUGAUCAUGCUAAAUGUAGGCUGUGGAUUCUCACUUCUUGCUUUUCUCAUGUGUUAUGAGUAAUGAACUAAAUAAAAGGGUCGGUCAAGGGAAGAUCAAACUAAAUGCAACAUAUUAUCUUUGCAAAAGAACGACAAGAUAGAUCUAUGUACAACACUACGUCUUUAUUUUCUGCACAGGGGGCAUAAUCAUGGCAUUCUCUGAUUUAUCUAAUUGAAAUGUCUUUUUUUUUGCCUCACUUUAAAACGUUUUGUGCUCCAUCAUUUUUAUACAUAAUUUGGAGUCACAGAGUAACAGUCACAAGGUCUCUGUAUUUUCAAAGCUGUCAUACCUAACACUUGGUAUUCCAUGUAGGUCACAUAAGGAGAGUCGAUGACACAUGAUUAGGAGCCUGUUUGCUUGUCUUUAGUCUCUAGAAACACAGGAAACAGCCAGGAAAGGAAGAAUAUGAAAUUGCAGUGGGCAGUAGCGCCGCAUAGGCAAACAUGAUCUACACUCCUUUACCCAUUAACCACCAACAGGAGUACAAGCCAGAUUUCUGACUGUGCAGGAUCAGAAACUGCAAUGCAUCAUGGUUACCAGGCACAUACAGCUGACACAUCAGACAGAAACAAUUGAUAUUCUAUAGCAGGGUUCCAAAACAGGUGGCCUGCGGGCCAACUUCGGCCUUCGGGUGAUUUUAUUUCAUUUUUCUGAUAAAAAAUAAUACAAAUAAUAAUACAAAAUAAAAACUAUAUAAUUUUCAUUGUUGGACAUAAAAGACUGUAAAAUCACCAGGACAUCAGCUUAAAGUGAUUUUAAUUGAGAAAAUCUGUUCCCAAGUAUUCCCACGCAUAAACAGAGGCAUACAGUAUGUGAUCGUAUCCCAAUGUUAUCAAGGUUUGAAAUGAUUCUGUUUUUGUCAAAUACUAUGUCUGUUUGGGAUUAUUGCGGUCAAUUUGCAGUCUACAAAUGAUUUGUAACCAUGUCCCCCCCCCCCUGACCAUCCACUCAAGGAAAAAUUGGCCUGUGACUGAAUGUAUUAGGGACCCUGUUUUAAAGGAAGCUAAUCAGGAGGAUAGCACCAACCCACAAGGCCGGAUGGCCCUACGUACGCAGGGAUGAAAGACUUGGACUCCCUCUCUAGGAACAGGGGCCGAGUGAGUCUAUGAGGUGGUCUUGCUUCAACCCGGCACGUGUCUAAACAACUUCUCUAUUACACCUGACCUCUGAGGGCACUCCCCAUCGAGCAGGGAACAAAGGCCAUGACCCUGGGGUCAAAAGUGUUAUACGGGAGGCCCAAUGAGGAACCCAGUGCUGUUUGCUUUAAGAAGGUAAAGAUGACUAACACAUUAACUAAUGCUGAAUAGGGGAUUAUCCCCGAGGGACGUCACUCACAGGGUCUACACAUCACGUCUUAUUAACACCCCUGACCUCUGGCCCGUCACCUCAGGCAGCUGACUGAGACCGCCACUCUCCCUCUCUGUCUAUGUGUAAGAAUAACACGCACACACGCAGGCAUGCACGCACACACACACACACACACACACACACACACACACACACACACACACACACACACACACACACACACACACACACACACACACACACACUACAAAGUUUUACCAAUCACUAUAAUUAAUUACUGAGUAUCAAUUCUGAAUUACAAACAGUAAUACUUAAUAGUAGUAUUGCCAUGAGAAACAAAAUAUAAGAAACCAUUGAACUUUAUACCUGGCAUUUUGUUUAAUUUCAAGUCUUUGUUUUAUGUAUGAUUAGCAAAUGUGUAUCUUUGACAUUUAAUUUCACACUGAUCACGAGUCAAGGAAUUUAUUUACACCCUACACAACAAGAGAUUCCCUCAAAUUGAUCCUCCGUGUUACUGAGCUGUGUUCCACGGCACUUCAUAAAAUGGGAGCAUUUAGAUAAAGUUCUGAUCACAAAAUGGUGGACAGAAGACAUGCGCAGUGUGGAUAUCAUGGAUAAUAUUACACGAUAGACCCUUUCAACAGCACAUGCUUAUUCACACAUUUUCAAUUAUUACAUAUGUAUUGAGUGGGUGACGUAAAUGAAUUGUGUCAAUGUGAAAAAGUGGAAGCUGACUUAACCCUAUAUCUCCUGACAGAUUACACCUACAUAUUCAUUAUUGAAACUAAACAAGCAUGGUUUCAUUUCAUUGGGUGUACUGUUAUGUGCAAUACCUCAUAAUGUAAUGAUACCAUUUUCUUCUGAAAAACAAAUAUGAAAUGUGAUUAUUAUGUGUAUGAGGAAAUCAAUUUCUGAGAUGGUGAUGUUUAAGAAUUAACUAUUUGCUUUGUUGUACACAUGUACACUUGAAUAUUGUACAAUCUUAAAGAAAAUUGUAUUUGUGAAAUAUGUUCUAUUCAUCACGUGUUUUCUUUUUAGAAAUGGGUUCACAGCUCAACUUAACAUUAUAAAAGUCAAGUAUUCAUUUGAAUUGAAAAUAGAAGAUAUAAUGUCUUUCUAAUGACAAUACCAUUUUCAAUUUAUGUAUAAUGAAGGGCCUUUGGAAAGAAUAUCAAUACAUAAGAAAUAACUCUGUAGCUAUAGCAAUGAAUAAUACAAUGAAUUAGUUACUGUCACAAAAUAUGUUGUAUACAUACCUCAAUAGAAAAAGGUGGAACUUUUUACCACAAAGAGCUUACAUUUCAAAUCAAAUCAAAUUGUAUUUGUCACAUGCCCCGAAUACAACAGGUUUAGACCUUACAGUGAAAUGCUUACUUACAAGCUCUUAACCAACCAUGCUUCAAGAAGUUUUAAUAAAAAGAAGUGUUAGGUAAAAAAUUUGAUAAGUAAAAAAUUGAAAAUAGAAGUAAACAAAAAAUUUAAUGGCAUCAGUAAAAUAACAAUAGUGAGGCUAUAUACAAGGGGGUACUAUAUGAUUAAUAUAGAAUGAAUACAUCAUUGGAAGUGCAUUGAUUAGAUAAUAACUGAUAUUACAAAUCAAGAAUGAAUAUCAACCGGGUAAGAAGAAAUCACUUCAAACCUAAAGAAUCUGUCGAAAUUUGUCAACCACAUGUCGAAUUAAAAUCAGGUGCAUCUGCGUGUAAUUGUAACAAAUGAUGCAAUAAUAAACUGCCAUAUAGCAAGUCCUUCAUCUACAAUCAAACAUUGUGAUUUACAUGUUUUUUAAGCUAAAAUAAGUAAUGUCUGCCAACAAGGUUAAGCAUUUUCCCAUGAUCAGAAUUUCAAAAAAGAUGGGAACAAAUUAUUUAUACGUAAAUUAUAUUGAAAGGAUUUUGAAAUAGCAUAUUUUUCAAAUAAAACAUGUAUUCAAAGGAAAUAAGCUGGCACACACCACUCUGGCAAAGUAUCAGUCAUUUACUUCCACGCCAACUUAUUUUCUUUGAAUAACUGUUUCACUCUUCCAAUGCACCUGCUAAGCAACAAGUAACACUCUCUUUACUUUAAAUAAAACAUUAACAAGUAGAAAAUAAUCAUUGAAUUUAUGAAAAUGAACUGCACAGUAUCAUUUGACACAGUAAGCAAGGCUGCAAAUGAUAUAUAUUCACUUCUAAUUGAAGAGGUAUGAACCUUUAUCAGUAACAUUUAACACUUGAACCUCUACAUCUGUAUAUUUGAAUGUAUUCAUCUGUGAAAUUCCAGCAAACCAAUAUGCUAUGGUCAUUAAACAAUGAGCUGUGAGAUUAUUGUAUUGAUGCUUUCUUUACACAGAGAUGCUUUUCAUAAAUUUGAAGUUUUGAAUGAGAAGUCAAGGCCAAAGCAUGUGGGAAUAACUUACAAGAUUCAAGAGUCAUGAAGAUUAAUGUCAUCUUGUUAUGGUUUUUAUGCAUUGAGUAUGUCGGAGAAUAGUAAUUCAACUAUUUUACCAUGUGUUUUCAGGGAAAUAUUUAAGUAAUUUUACGAAAUUUUAGCCAGUUUGCUACACCAGGAAAAUAAUCCUGCACCAACAGGACAUUUUAAUUAUUAUGUGGAUUAUAAUUAAUGGCCAUUUUUGUAGGAGUUUAUACAUUUUUAGUAUAGAACAAUCAAGUUAGAAAUUUGUGGAAAUUACAAACUUCAGAAGCCUUUUUAAACCUUAAAUAAACAUCGCAGGAAAGCCUGCAACAGGGUGAUCAAAUUAAGAUUUACACCUGUACACUAUUACAAAAACAUUAUUUUGCAGACUAUAUUGUCGAUUGCCAAUUCAUCAUCCAACUUCAGUAGCAUUUAGCUGGUGUUUAGUCACCUUUGUAUGCAAAAACUUGAAUCAGAAGCUAAUACAGAGGCUCUAAUACAUACCUUCAUAUCUUACAUAUAUACAAGCAUUUCGCUACACCCGCAAUAACAUCUAUUAAACCCGUGUAUUAGACCAAUCAAAUUUGAUUUGAUAUAUUAUUGUAUAAUUAAACAUAUAAACACACAAAUAAACACAGUGACUGAAUGUAAAAUAGAUGGUUUUCAAUAAGUAAGAACAAGACAAACAGAUAUGAUAUUCCAUCAGCGCUAAACUCACCUCACGGUGUCUCACCGGAAUCUGAGAGAAAGAGAGAAGGAGAGAGAGGGAGGAAGGGAGAGAAAGCUUGGGAGCUUGCAAUACAAAAUGGACCCUAUCCGAUAUCAGACCUCAGAAUGGACAACCUUCAUAAACGGGGCGACACCCAGAUUGCAACGAGUCAGGACUACUUCUCAUGGCCCUUCAGGAAGCAGACAUAUUAUGUGGAGAGUACAGACACACCACUACAGCAGAGGUCAGAAUCUGAGCUCCUCACCAUAAAAAGGGUUAUAAUAUAUCAGGGUUCAGUUCAAAAUGAAUUGAUCUUGACCUUGAGUAGAACGGUUAACAUGAAAUUCUAAUUGAAAUUGCCCUAUACUGCCUUUGUCACGUGAGUUGCAAGUUCAAUUCAACAGUAGUAUUAAAUUGAAAUGGAUAGACAUGAGUUAAGUUUUUACAAUGAAGAUAACAUUGUUAUUUUAUCCGAUUCUAUUUUGUUUAAAUGUGAUCUAAGCUCAUAUGAUUUGAAAUAUCACUGGCAUUUAGAAUAAUUAAAAAUUACCAUUAUAUUUGGCCUAAAUCUAAACAUUUAACAGUGAUAAUCAUUGAUAUGAUGCAAUAUAACACAUUUACAGAUGCAUAUUUCAAAGAUAAUGCACAUUCUUACAAAGAAAAAUCAACCAACCUUAACUUUCAGUAACAUACAUAAAUCCGAAGAAGAAACAACAACAGAAAAGCACUAAGACAAAAGUCCCCUGACCUGGUGAAGCGUAACAAUACAAGUAAAUUCUCCUUUCCCCCUCUGUGCCCUUGACCAGCACCACCAGCCUGUGUGAGUCUGGGGCCAUAGGCUCUUACAUACCUGAGCUCCCCCUCUGCCUGCUGUGGUCCUCUGAGGAGGAGAGGUCUGCUAGCUGCUAACACCCUUCACAUAUCCUACAGCCUGGGCCACUCACUUUUAUUAUUCCUGUGUGCCAAGCCAAGAGCGGGCGAGCCAGGCGCUAGCCUGGUGAUGUAGGGGCCUUUGCCCACCGCCAACGAGGCCCGAGGACAACUCUGUGCAACAUCACAGUGCCUUUACCGGCACAGACUGGGGCGAGAAGAUGGUGAGAGGAUUUUCUGUCUCCAGCCGAACCCGGCGCACCUAAUCGCCACUCCUCACACUCUCUCACUCUCCUUUACACAUUCUCCAUGUGCUUUUCCUCUACUUCAGUCACACACACUCCCUGUUUGCUGUCGCUGCAUCAUAACGCACACCUCUUAACACGCACACACUCUUCAUGCUCUUUCUCUAUCUAGUAACACACACCCUGUGCCUGUGUCUCCCUAGGACACUAACAAAGCCUCAAUCACUCACUGUCUUGGCAGAUACACUCCCGUUCUCUCAACCUGACGUGGCUUCAUUACAGUACAGAGGGCUGGGACACAGAACAGGACUGAUCCCAGACACACUCUCACCAGUGAAACUAAUGAAAGUAACAGAUGCAUAAGAAACUGUGUAGCAGCCGGUCCAAUGUAGCUGCUGUUUCAGUAAAGUUUCUACCAGCUGCUGCUCUAACAGUACUGAGCACGGUUCUACUGGGGCAGUGGAAUCAAUUACAGCAGUAACAUUACUCCAGUGUUAACAACACCUCCAGAAUGAGGUCAUUUCAUUGAGGAAAUAUCGCAGUUGAAAUGGAUCAGACUGUUUGAUUUCUGUACCACAAUAGAUUUACAGAAUGAUAAUGUUGGAUGCAAAUCCACGUGAGCAAACGUGGCAAUGUUUUGGUGAGCAGUUCAAUGUUUACUAUUAACAACUGGGCUAUUGCAUUACAUCACAGUACAUUUUAUUUUAUCGUUGUACAAUAAUAUAAAGGUCAAUUAAAAUGUCAUAACAUUUUG